GGAAAGAAGUCAGUGUCAAUAGCUGUAUCAAGGACCAAAACACACCAUUAAAUACACUCCCUCUUCCUCUAUGGCACAGUGAAAGCAAUUGACAUUAAUUCAUAUAUGGAUCCAUCCACACAUACACAAGAAUCACGACCUCACUUUUCUCUUCUCCAUACAGCCCUUUUAUUUUUCUCUAUUUAUAUAUCCAUCCAUCCAAUAACAAGAUCUAUCUUCAAUCUUCAUGCUUCAUUCAUUCAUCACAACUAUGUGUCUAUCUAUAUCUUAUGUUGCUUUGAGAGGUUGAAGCUGCCAGCAUGAUCUGGUCAUCUUGCAGCUUCAAUCACUCAAUUAUCAACAGAUAACUAACUUCCUCCAUUUCGAUCUGUUGAAUUUCAGGUAAAUAAAUCUCUAAUCCUUAUCCUACAGAUUUAUACAAGUUUUAUUUAUGAAAUAUUUUUGAAAUUUACAUGUGCAAAUACAUGUGCUUUAACUCUUGUCAUUAAUUAUAAAUUACUUUAUACCAGCUACACACAUUCACAAUCACAUGCACGUAUUUGUUUAUUACUAUUAAUAAUUAAUACAUAAUUUAUGUGUGUAUAUAUACAUAUAACAGAAGAAGAAAUAUAUAUGGACAUUAAUGCAAGACAAAGUAUAAAUCCAUUUUCUUUUCUUCUUUUUAAGUGGUACUGAUUAUUUGUCUCGUAAUCUCAACAACCUUUAUCUAACUUUUUUGGGAUGCAUUUAGCACGAGUACUGCACAGACAAAAUUUGAAACGGUUUCAUUUGUUACUUUCUUCCAUAGACAACUGUUUGUGGUGGUCCUAUCUGUUGUACUGUCGCAAUCUACUCAACUUGUCUUCUGCACUAUUUCAUUUUUUAUAACAAUAUCUUUGAAUUUUAAAUAAUUGGUUUCUAGUAGUUUGGUUUAUCUUAACCUAGGUUUUGGUUUGGUUUGGUUUGUUUCUACUGUCUUGAAGAAUUUAAUUGAUGAGAUGCUAGGGUCAGUUCAAUGUACGUUGAUGCUAAGUAACUAUUAUGUGAUUUGUGAACAUUUAUGAUCGAAGAGAGAUUUUAGAACCAACUCCAAAACAAGGUAUGGUUAUUAUUAUUUAUGAAAAGGGUCCCUCUUUUGUACUCACUUGGUUGCAGUCUCUGUCAACUAUAUGUGAAGCCUGUGAAGCAAGGACUUAGUUAGUAGCUAAUCCAGUCGCAGAUGUAAUAGGUAAAAUGUAUUUAUCUGGCUUUGUAAGUAUAGUUCAAAUAGAUUAAUAUUUUGAUAUGUUGUCAAGAAAAUUUGAACGACAUGUAUUGCAGUGUAAAUUAAUGUUAAAUUUUCAGAAACUAUAAAUAUAAAUUAAUGUCUUACUCUGA
Molecule: long non-coding RNA, 1356 nt
Organism: Lathyrus oleraceus (garden pea)
Lineage: Eukaryota; Viridiplantae; Streptophyta; Magnoliopsida; Fabales; Fabaceae
Exons: 2
Source: RefSeq, a predicted model, not a curated record